This 253-nucleotide unclassified non-coding RNA is filed under the name Candidatus Nomurabacteria bacterium. Its description in RNAcentral is "contains 16S-23S intergenic spacer region". It matches the Rfam family "Bacterial small subunit ribosomal RNA", at positions 524 to 776 of the family's 1533-position model. The record is from RNAcentral. Lineage: Bacteria; Candidatus Nomuraibacteriota.
UACGAGAGCCUCGAGCGUUAUCCGGAAUUAUUGGGCGUAAAGGGUGCGUAGGUUGUUCUGUUAGUCUUUUGUUAAAGCCCCGGGCUUAACCUGGGAAUCGCGAAAGAAACGGCAGAACUUGAAAGUGCGAGAGGCGUACGGAACUCAUGGUGUAGGGGUGAAAUCCGUUGAUAUCAUGGGGAACACCAAAUGCGAAGGCAGUACGCUGGCGCAUAUUUGACACUGAGGCACGAAAGCGUGGGUAGCGAAUGGG